Molecule: ribosomal RNA, 253 nt
Filed under: uncultured bacterium
Lineage: Bacteria
Description: partial 16S ribosomal RNA
Rfam family: Bacterial small subunit ribosomal RNA
Source: RNAcentral
UACGGAGGGCGCAAGCGUUGUUCGGAAUUACUGGGCGUAGAGCGCGUGUAGGCGGCCAGGUAAGUCGGAUGUGAAAGCCCGGGGCCCAACCCCGGAACUGCACCCGAUACUGCCUGGCUGGAGUCCCGGAGACGAUGGCGGAAUGUCAGGUGUAGAGGUGAAAUUCGUAGAUAUCGGAAGGAACACCAGUGGCGAAGGCGGCCAUCUGGACGGGGACUGACGCUGAGACGAGAAAGCGUGGGGAGCAAACAGG